AGGAGAAAAAGCUAUGAAUUCCACUAGGUGCAUAUCGAACCGAUUAAAUAUCUUUUGGGGAUAAAAUACACCAAAAUUUUGUUCAUGUCCAGCACACAAUGUGAGAAUUCUUUUGUGAUAACAUAAACUUGAAAGUUUCGAUCCAGCAAGAUAAGGGAGUUGUGAGGCAUGCAUUUGCUUGUUAAUAAUAACUUCGGACAUUAACAUGUUUUGAGGCAAUCCACAUAUUACAAAUGCUUCCUUAUUCAGUUCGAAUACACAGGUCCACCCCUGCGUUUUAUUAUCACUACUACUUUACGAGUGCGCGACGCACAGCGCUUUAUUCUUGACGAGCCAUUGCACGAAACCUCCCGGCGCCUAGCAAGUGAGGUUGCUCCCGGGGUCGACGCCGAGCUGCUGGCAGUACUGCUUGUAGUAGC
This 419-nucleotide long non-coding RNA is filed under the name Setaria italica (foxtail millet). Its description in RNAcentral is "long non-coding RNA (SITA_LNC007522)". Lineage: Eukaryota; Viridiplantae; Streptophyta; Magnoliopsida; Poales; Poaceae. The record is from RNAcentral.